This 1144-nucleotide ribosomal RNA is filed under the name marine metagenome. Its description in RNAcentral is "bacterial SSU rRNA". It matches the Rfam family "Bacterial small subunit ribosomal RNA", at positions 8 to 1163 of the family's 1533-position model. The record is from RNAcentral.
AGAGUUUGAUCCUAGCUCAGGAUGAACGCUGGCGGCGUGGAUAAGGCAUGCAAGUCAAGGGGGUACUGAGGCGCAAGCUGAAGUGCAACCGGCGAACGAGGUAGUAACACGUGGGUACAUACUCCAAAGUCAGGAAUAACCAGUCGAAAGAUUGGAUAAUACUUGAUAAUGUCUUCGGACUAAAGAUUUAUCGCUUUGGAAAUGGCCUGCGGAGUAUCAGCUAGUUGGUAGUGUAAUGGACUACCAAGGCUAUGACGCUUAGGGGAGCUGAGAGGCUGACCCCCACCGAUGGUACUGAGACACGGACCAUACACCUACGGGUGGCCGCAGUCGAGAAUCUUCCGCAAUGGACGAAAGUCUGACGGAGCGACGCCGCGUGAUGGAUGAAGACCCUCUGGGUCGUAAACAUCUUUUAUGAGGGAGAAAGUUUAUUGAUAGUACCUCACGAAUAAGGGGUUGCUAAACUCGUGCCAGCAGCAGCGGUAAUACGAGUGCCCCGAGCGUUAUCCGGAAUCAUUGGGCGUAAAGGGUGUGUAGGUGGCAGUGUUAGUCGGUUGUUAAAACCCGGAGCUUAACUCCGGACUCGCGAUCGAAACGGCACAGCUAGAGGAUGGCAGGGAUCUGUGGAACUCAUGGAGUAGGGGUGAAAUCCGUUGAUAUCAUGGGGAACACCGAAAGCGAAGGCAGCAGAUUGGGCCACUCCUGACACUGAAACACGAAAGCGUGGGUAGCGAAUGGGAUUAGAUACCCCAGUAGUCCACGCCCUAAACGUUGAUAACUAGCUUUUCAGAGUAUCGACCCUCCGAGAGGCGAAGCAAACGCGUUAAGUUAUCCGCCUGGGUAGUACGACCGCAAGGUUAAAACUCAAAGGAAUAGACGGGGACUUGCACAAGCAGUGGAUUAUGUGGUUUAAUUCGAUGAUAAACGAAAAACCUUACCAAGGUUUGAAACCUAGCUGAAUACUCGGAGAAACUCGAGUAGUCCCACAAGGACAGUUAGGCAGGUGAUGCAUGGCCGUCGUCAGUUCGUGAUUUGAAUUGUUCCCUUAAGUGGGGUAACGAACGCAACCCUCGUUGUCUGUUAUACGUAUCAGGCGAGACUGCCCAGCUUUUUGAGCGUAAGCUCAAAAAGCGAGUUAUAAAGU